GCCUGGGUGGCUCAGUUGGUUAAGCCCCUGACUUCGGCUCAGGUCAUGAUCUCACGGUUUAUGAGUUCAAGUCCCAUGUCAAGCU
Molecule: non-coding RNA, 85 nt
Organism: Felis catus (domestic cat)
Lineage: Eukaryota; Metazoa; Chordata; Mammalia; Carnivora; Felidae
Source: Rfam